GAUGAAGAACGCAGCGAAAUGCGAUAAGUAAUGUGAAUUGCAGAAUUCAGUGAAUCAUCGAAUCUUUGAACGCACAUUGCGCCCCCUGGUAUUCCGGGGGGCAUGCCUGUCCGAGCGUCAUUACAACCCUCAAGCUCAGCUUGGUGUUGGGCCCCGCCGCCCCGGCGGGCCCUAAAGUCAGUGGCGGUCCCGUCCGGCUCCGAGCGUAGUAAUUCUUCUCGCUCUGGAGGUCCGGUCGUGUGCUCGCCAGCAACCCCCAAUUUUUUUCAGGUUGACCUCGGAUCAGGUAGGGAUACCCGCUGAACUUAAGCAUAUCAAUAAGCGGAGGA
This 329-nucleotide unclassified non-coding RNA is filed under the name soil metagenome. RNAcentral describes it as "partial contains 5.8S ribosomal RNA, internal transcribed spacer 2, and large subunit ribosomal RNA". The stretch from base 1 to 120 matches the Rfam family "5.8S ribosomal RNA", at positions 35 to 154 of the family's 154-position model. The record is from RNAcentral.